AGGACUGAAACUCAGUCAUCUUACGGGAAAGCCACAAAGGGAAGUGAUCCACCCAAAGAAAAGUGGACCUCGAACGGACAACCUCUCUGGUCAAAGAAUCUGCAAUUUCAUUGUGAAUCCUUCGGAUAUGACGAAAUUCCACCAUUUCAAAAUUUCUCCCAAGCUCAAGGAUCCUCAAAACCCAAAUCCCAGCUUCUGAUUUGUUCAUCUCCCUUCUAUUUAGAAGGUGAAUCGUCUCUAAAGCGUCAGAUUCCACCACCACAGCACUGAAAUUCAUCCUGAAAACAAGACGAAUAUCUUCCUUAAUCACCAUCAACUCAGCAUGGAGGGUACUGUACCUGAUGCUCACAAAUUUGGACAUGGCAACCUCCGAAAGAUGAGUACCUCUACGAAUUGAAAUCGCAAUUCCAGUCACUGACAAUGAAAUGUUACAGGCUGCAUCGGAAUUAAUCACCAUGCCCUCCUGCACAGGAAGCAAGCUCACCUCUAAAUUUGAAGGAAACCCCUCCAAAGUGCCCCCAAAACAUCUCCCCUUUUACUAGCAUUCACACUUCUAAAAGAUUACAUGUAUUGAAGAAUUCAUUCUCCUUUAAUAGAAACUUCAGGAAUUUACCUAUUAUUACUGAUAUUGUUCCUGUCAUUCCAAAUCGCCCAAAACAUUACUGUAUCUAAUUUAAGAUCCUCUCUCGACAGCACCUCCAUCAUCUGCUCCCAGUACCACCGAAGAUCUGGGCCUUUUGCCAAGCUUCUUGAUGAUAAAGGCAAACAACACUCCCAGACGCUUCUAGCACGCGAACAUUCAACAAAGACAUGGGUGACUGUCUCCCUUUAGCAGAGCAAACUAGGCAAACAGUUCAAUAUUUAAUUAUUCCUAAUUCUAAAUCAUAUCGUAUCCCAUUUUUAAGUGGUGACAAUUUUAAGGAUUGGAAAGAGAAAGUUCUCAACAUUGGGGUGCAUGGACCUUGUCUUGGCAUUACGUGUUGAUGAACCACCAAUACCUAUAGAAUUAAGUACCCAAAAUGAGUAAGUAGCAUAUGAACAGUGGGAGAGAUCCAACCGCUUAAGUAUCAUGCUUAUCAAGUCCCAUGUGGGUAAAAGUAUUCGUGGUUCGAUUCCGAUUUGUGCUAAAGUCAAGGAACAUCUUGAUCCUAUUGAGCAGUAGUUUGUUACUUUUGAUAAGGCAAUGACAAGUACCUUAAUGAAUCAAUUGUCAUAUAUGAAGUUUGAUGGUAACAAAGGUAUACGUGAGCACAUAAUGUAAAUGAGGGAUAUAGCUGCUGAACUUAAGACGUUAGAGAUAGGGAUUUUUUGGUCUUUUAUGGUUCACUUCAUCCUUAAUCCACUUCCUUCAGAAUAUGGACCUUUUAACAUUUCAUAUAACAAACAUAAGGAAAAUGGUCAAUCAAUGAACUUUUGAUCAUAAUUGUUCAAGAAGAAACAUGGUUGAAAUAGGAAAUGGUUGAAUGUGCACACGUGGCGACUCGUGGUAAGAAAGCUGUCAACAAGGGGAAAGGAAAGACACCUCUUAAUCAAGUUAAUAAGGGUGCAUUCCUAUGUUUUCUUUUGGUACAAAGAAGGGACACGUGAAGAAAGAUUGGCCCAAAUACAUAUAAUGGCUUGAAAAGAAAGGGCUUCCUAAGCCAUCAGAAACAAGAUGAGAUCACAUGUGGAAGCUAUUGGAACCUGUCGUCUUAUUCUGUCUACCGGCUUUGUUUUGGACCUUGAAAAAACUACUUUUUCCAUAAACCUAAUUUCGGUUUCUAAACUUUUACCUUGUGGAUAUGUCCUUAACUUUUGUGGUAGUUCAUCUACUUUUGAUUGCAACCUUAUGUCUAUGCAUGUUAACGGCGGUUUAAAGCGAAAUGUUAUGAAGAAAAAGUCUUCCAUGUUAUGGUAUAGGAGAUUAGGUCAUAUCUCCAUUAAGAGAAUUAAGAAAUUAGCCGAAAGGCAAAACCGAACAUUAAUGGACAUGGUAAGAUGCAUGAUUAGUAACUCUAGUUACCAUUGUCAUUGUGGAGUGAAGCCCUUAAAACAGCUGUGUAUGUAUUAAAUAGAGUUCCAACCAAGGCAAUUCAUAAAACACCUUUUGAGUUAUGGAAGAGUUGAAAACCUAGUUUAAGGCAUUUACAUACAUAGGGUUAUCCAGCUGAAAUAGAGUAUGUAAUCCACAUGAGAAGAAAUAAUUAGACUCACGAACAAUUAUUGGUCAUUUCAUUGGCUAUGUAAAAGGAUCUAAGGAUUUUAGGUUUUAUUGUCCAUCCAAUGCAAGUAGAAUAGUAAACUCACCAAAUGCAAGGUUUCUAGAAAAUGGUGAUUAGUGGGAGUAGCCAACCUUGAAAUUUAUGUUUUGAGGAAAUUCAAGAAACACGUUCCAUUCCCGAUUCAUCAAAUGGAGUUGUAGUGGUUCAAGAUAAUCAUCAAGAAUUAGAAAAUUUUGAACAACUAUAUAAUGAUGAACUUAGCAAAAGUUAUAUUGUUUAUGUAAAUCCUGUUAGCAAAAAUUCUCUAAGAGAGGAUGUUGAUGUAACAUUAAGGAGAUUUACAAGAACAAGAAAGUCUGUUAUUCCUUCUAACUAUCUAGUGUAUUUACAAGAAUCUGAUAUUGACUUUGGUGCUGAGGAUGACCCCAUUACGUUUUCACAAGCUAUGAGUGGAAUCAAAUCCACAUUAUGGUAUGAUGUCGUGGAGGAUGAGAUGAAAUCUAUGGCUAGUAAUCAAGUUUGAGAUCUUGUCGAAUUGUCUGAAGGUUCAAAGACCAUUGAUUGUAAAUGGGUAUUUAAACCAAAAGAGAUUCUAGAAACCAUGUUGAAAGAUAUAAGGCAAGACUUGUAGCCAAAGGUUGCGCUCAACAAGAAGGAGUUGAUUAUUAUAUGAAACCUUUUCUCCAGUUUCAAAGGACUCAUUUAGGAUAAUCAUGGCAUUAGUAGCUCAGUUUGAUUUAGAACUACAUCAAAUGGAUGUGAAAAUAGUCUUCCAAGAUGAAGAUUUAGAGGAAGAAGUAUACAUGAAACAACCUGAAUGGUUCACCUCAAGUAAAAAUAGUCACUUAGUAUGUAAGCUUAGAAGGUCUAUAUAUGGGUUAAAGCAAGACUCUCGCCAAUGGAAUUUAAAGUUCCAUGAUGUCAUUACUUCAUUUGGUUUUUGAAGAAAACAUUAUGGAUCAAUGUAUAUACCAUAAUGUUAGUGAGAGCAAAAUUGUUUUCUUAAUCCUAUAUGUAGAUGACAUCUUGCUUGCUUCAAGCGAUUUGGGCUUACUCUAUGAAGUGAAACAGUUUCUCUCAAGAACUUUUGAUAUGAAAGAUAUGGGUGAAGCUCUUAUAUCAUUGGCAUAAAAAUUAAAAGAUACGGAGCUCAAAGGCUAUUAGGACCGUCUCAAGAAACCUAUAUUAAUAAAGUUCUUGAAAGAUUUUGUAUGAAAAAUUGUUCAUUUGGUUUGGUACCUAUAAUUAAACGUGACAAAUUUAAUUUGAGUCAAUGCCCAAUAAAUGACCUUGAAAAGGAACAAAUGAAAAACAUUCCUUAUGGUUAUGCAGCAGGAAGCUUGAUGUAUACUCAGGUUUGUACUAGACCUGAUAUAGCAGUUGUGAUGGGAAUGUUGGGAAAAUAUAAAAGUAAACCAAGCAUGGAUCAUUGGAGAGUUGGAAAGAAAUUGAUGCAUUAUCUUUAAGGAAUGAAACAUUACAUGCUUACUUACAGACAUUCUGAUCAUUUAGAAGUGAUUCGAUAUUCAAACUCAGACUUUGCUGGAUGUUCUGA
This is a non-coding RNA of Momordica charantia (bitter melon), 3756 nucleotides long. NCBI's taxonomy places the organism in Eukaryota, Viridiplantae, Streptophyta, Magnoliopsida, Cucurbitales, Cucurbitaceae. The record is from RefSeq and is a predicted model, not a curated record.